GCUCGUUUCAGUAAAGGCACUGCCUGAAAUUUAGAAAACAAAAAUAUUAGUUACUAUCCUUAAAUAACGCUAAUAGCUAUAACCAUUGCCUUUGAAUAAUUCUCCUAAUCACUUAAUGAUAAUAUAACUGUUUAUUUCAAUUAAAUAUCAUAAAUCAUUACGGUUGAUUGUAAAGAAAUAUAAAGUUGAAUUAAAAUUCAACUACACUCUUGACUAUUCAACUUUCUCAAUUACCUAAAUAAGUUACUGAAAAAAGGACAGGACUGCACUCUUUACAAUCAGACUCAAAAUUUGCAAUCAAAUGGGCAGCUGAAUUCGCUGACCUUUUCACAAACACUACAGAGCUUUGGGAUAGCUCAUUUAAGAACUGACAAUAGGACAACCAAUCCAAAAUAAGAAAUAUCAACAACAGAACUUCGCAGCAACUGAACCAAACCCAAGCAAUUCGAUUCAAACACAACAUUCAAUAUGCCCUUGCCUUUAAACCAGCCCACUGCCUCUCUAAACGAGAAGGCCUCCGCCAAAAGAGGAUCCAUUGGACCAGAUAAACAACGCUGACAAGCAUUCACAACAGGUCCUGGUCCCACUGAUAGUGCAUUUUCAAAAACUGGAUCAUCAUGAUCAAUGCUCAUUUCCAGAGUUUGGUCCUUAGCAGAAGACAUCUCAUGAUGACGUCACUUUAGGUCCACAAUAAGCAUCCCAUCAUGCGAAAUCGUAUCACCAAGAGUGCCUAGUAGAAACAAACCCCAUAUGUUUCAGACGUAACUUGCAUGUCUGAUUUUCAAACCCAACACCCUUAUCCUUUAAAGCAACUCCACCCCCACAAUCCCCUCUUUCCAACUAUACAUGUUUCGGGAUACUGUACCGAUCAACUGCAACAUCUUCCACCUCCGACACUUCGUACCUCAACCACAGCUGCCCCAUCAUUUGAUUAUUCCAAUGAGUUAGCGCCCUCGUCUCCGGCCCAUAUCUACGCCCUACCUGCUCACCAUGGGCUUCAAAAAGAAGGGGACAAAAUCUCUCCGUAUGGCCAAGCAAACCACAUAGAAAGCAAAACCUGGGCAGGCUCUCAUAUCUAAAAGAGAACCAAACCCACUCCCUACUCGGCCGUUUGAGUUUCAUCUUCCUCUUCAAGGGAACCUGAUCUUUGAUAUGAACCCUAAUCCUCCUGAACCUGAACCCAAAUAAGAGUACAAAAAAAAUGGGACCUGCUGGGGUUGUUCAUGGGGCGGCAAAUGAUGGAAUAAUAAUAAAUGUUGAUCAAAAAUCCAAGGAGACAUUUCAAUUACCCUUUGCACAUCAACAGCAUGGAAAAAUUGGAACAUAAACAGAGAAUCCCCAAUCUCCCGAAUACUCACCCUUCCCUGGAUGCCACAAAUUUGCCAUUGUUUGCUUCAUGGCAUUGAAAUUAAUGCCCUUCUCCAUCAAAAACCUGCCUACCAGACAAAAACCCUUGUCCUGCACAACUACCUCCACCUCUUCCACAACUAAACCAGCCACCUCUUCAUCGAACGUCAGGAGAUUAAUUCCCUUAGCCAAAUAGCCAUCCAUAGUCGAAGUCGCUGCCAUUAGAACCACUAUAAAGAAAACGAAAGAAACUACACACCAACCAAUGCUUAUCAACAGAUACGACGAACCCUACUUCUUAAAAAAUAGGACACAACGUUAGCCGUAGUUGCUAAAAUCGCGAGUUGAUUUGUAAGAUUACGAGUUAAAAUCACCAAAACGAAUCCAAAUGUAUGUAAAAUCAAAAUAUAGUAAAAUUGAGGUAAAACAGCAGUUUUAAAUAGUAAAAUCAGAUGAAAAAAAAAAACACGAUUUUACAAGUUUAUGAUUGUACGAUUUUAUAUAUUUAAAAUUUUAUAAUUUAAAAUAUUUCAUUUUAGUUUAUCAAAAUCAAUGUCAUUUGUUUAUUUUAACAUCAUUUCUAGAUUUUUUAAGUUUUAAAUAUACUAAUAACCAUUAUUUUUUGCUGCUACAAUUAUCAUGUAUAUAUUGUAAUUUUUUAUAUUACUUUUUCAACAACUUUGAUAUAUUACGAUUAUGAUAAAUGUGAUUUAAUUUCUAUAUAUUAUUCAUCAAAUAUUUCUAUUAUUUGUAUUUACAUCUUUUCAAAGUUGAAAACUUUGAAUUAUACUUUCAAUAUGAUGUUUAUAUUAAUUAUCACCAUAUUGAAUAUUUGGUGAUGAAAAUAUUUAUAGUUAGCCUAAAUUAUAAUAUAGUCCCUAAAGUUUUAUUUGAUU
RNAcentral lists this unclassified non-coding RNA (2243 nucleotides) under Hevea brasiliensis (rubber tree). Lineage: Eukaryota; Viridiplantae; Streptophyta; Magnoliopsida; Malpighiales; Euphorbiaceae. The record is from RNAcentral.